Molecule: ribosomal RNA, 553 nt
Filed under: Nocardia sp. 303C05
Lineage: Bacteria; Bacillati; Actinomycetota; Actinomycetes; Mycobacteriales; Nocardiaceae
Description: bacterial SSU rRNA
Rfam family: Bacterial small subunit ribosomal RNA
Source: RNAcentral
GAGCGGCGAACGGGUGAGUAACACGUGGGUGAUCUGCCUUGCACUCUGGGAUAAGCCUGGGAAACUGGGUCUAAUACCGGAUAUGACCUUCGACUGCAUGGUCGAGGGUGGAAAGAUUUAUCGGUGCAAGAUGAGCCCGCGGCCUAUCAGCUUGUUGGUGGGGUAAUGGCCUACCAAGGCGACGACGGGUAGCCGGCCUGAGAGGGCGACCGGCCACACUGGGACUGAGACACGGCCCAGACUCCUACGGGAGGCAGCAGUGGGGAAUAUUGCACAAUGGGCGGAAGCCUGAUGCAGCGACGCCGCGUGAGGGAUGACGGCCUUCGGGUUGUAAACCUCUUUCGACUCCGACGAAGCGAAAGUGACGGUAGGAGUAUAAGAAGCACCGGCCAACUACGUGCCAGCAGCCGCGGUAAUACGUAGGGUGCGAGCGUUGUCCGGAAUUACUGGGCGUAAAGAGCUUGUAGGCGGUCUGUCACGUCAUCUGUGAAAACUUGGGGCUCAACCUUAAGCUUGCAGGCGAUACGGGCAGACUAGAGUACUUCAGGGGAGA